UUUAAAUGCUACCAUAAGAUUCCGUGUUCCAUUUCGAUCGUUCGUCUUAUUUAAAAUUUUUUUAUAAUUAGUAUUUUUGUUGUUAUGAGAUGAUAAAAUAUGAAUAGUACUUUACUCGCGACUUAUAUUUUUAAAUUUUUUUAAAAAAGUUUUAAAUAAAACGGACGAUCAAAGUUGAACGCUGAAAACCAUGGCUACACUUAUA
This is a non-coding RNA of Oryza barthii, 205 nucleotides long. The record is from Rfam. Lineage: Eukaryota; Viridiplantae; Streptophyta; Magnoliopsida; Poales; Poaceae.